UCCAGCCAAGCAACUUUAUUUAUAUUCCUCAAUUCGGGCAACUACUUUGAAAGUAGGUCCUCAAGAAUCAAAUAAUUUUCAAACCUGUAUCAAUCAACCAAUUUAGAGCCCUAUCAGGACUCAACGAUGAAAAACUCACCAGGUUAUCUUCCAAACUAUAUGGCAGCAACAACUAUUGUAUUAGUUGGGAGUUUUGUUCAAAAUUGAACUCUAAAAAGAAUUAAAGUAUGGCAAAAUAUUGAAAUUACUAGAAACAGAGAUAUAGCUGAAAUGAAAAAUUGACAUACUUCACAGGUAAGGAUGCCAACGGAGUAGAUCUAGGGGCAGGGCCCCACCCCAACUACCGCCCUGCAUCCACAACAGGUCAAAAACCUAUCUUGUAAUCCACCUGGCUUCUAAACCCGCCUUCUGCCAGCAUAUUGAAUCCACCCCGCCAACUAAUUCUUUU
Molecule: long non-coding RNA, 448 nt
Filed under: Ananas comosus (pineapple)
Lineage: Eukaryota; Viridiplantae; Streptophyta; Magnoliopsida; Poales; Bromeliaceae
Description: long non-coding RNA (ACOM_LNC022480)
Source: RNAcentral